Molecule: non-coding RNA, 5800 nt
Organism: Podarcis lilfordi (Lilford's wall lizard)
Lineage: Eukaryota; Metazoa; Chordata; Lepidosauria; Squamata; Lacertidae
Source: the annotation of a GenBank genome assembly
GGGAGGCAUCAUCUUCAUUGCUUUGAGCCUCACAAUGGCGGGUGGACCUAUCAGUGAUUGUAUGCUUGUUUAUUUGGGACACGGGUGGAGCUGUAGUCUAAACCAGUGAGCCUCUUGGGCUUGCCAAUCAGAAGGUAAGCAGUUCGAAUCCCUAUUAUGAGGUGAGCUCCCAUUGCUUUGUCCCACCUCCUGUCAACCUAGCAGUUCGAAAGCACACUAGUGCAAGUAGAUAAAUGGGUACCUCUGCGACGGGAAGGUAAACGCCAUUUCUGUGCACUCUGGCUUCCGUCACAGUGCCCUGUUGCACCAGAAGCAGUUUAGUCCUGCUGGCCACAUCGCCUGGAAAGCUGUCUGUGGACAAACGCUGGCUCCCACAGGCUGAAGGCGGGAUGAAUGCUGCAACCCCAUAGUCUCCUUUGACUGGGCUUAACUUCCAGGAGUCCUUUACCUUUUUUAUGCACCUAUAAUUCUACACAGGAUCUGAGGACAAUAAUAAUCAACCUUGAUUAUGGUUCAUCCUAUUUGUGAUCUUAUUCCAUUAAAAGGGACCAAUUUCACCCUACUGAACCCAGAGGGAAAAACUGAUAUAAAUAAAAUAUUAUAAUUCACAUUAGGCAGAUAUCUUUAUUAGGUAAGCCGAAACAUUACAAAAUAGCACACAAGCUUUUGAGUUCUUUGGGACUCUUAAUCAAAUGAGAUGGUAAACAAAACAAGUGUGGGAAUUAUAGACGGAAGGGAGGGAAUCAGCUGCUGUUUGAUCCAUGGAUACAGACUGCAUUGAGUUACACACUUCAGAAGGAAAGUGUAAAGAGGUAGCCGAUACUCAUAUGAGGCUCUCUUUCAUGCUUUGCAGGUUUCAGGUUCCAUGUAAGGCUGAUGGGAAAAAGAAACAUUCAAUGCUUGAGUAUUCUUCUGAAAAUUCAAAAUCCAGGUGUUUCCCACAUCUGUCUCCUUCUCACAGGGGAAACACACAGGAAGAAAAUGAAUGUGGAAAAACUAAGUGGUUUUUAAAAAAAGGAAUAAAGCUGGAGAUUAAUUUUAGGUAGCAUGCUAGGUAAGAAAAGGCCAUACAGACCUAGCAGUUUGUCAGCGAUUGGCCUGAGGAGUGGGGGAAUGUGUGGGCAGAGGAAGCAGAUGGGGGGAAGGAGGAGGAUGGGAAAGAGGAAAUAUCUUAGUUUACAGAAAGGUUGGCACACAUAAACCACUUCGUUCAGGGCACUAAGCAGCCCCCAACAUUUGUUUUUAUUAUUACAAAUCUACUUAUUUGAGGAGCAAAGAAAAAGAGGGUUAUGGCAAUAGAGGCCACCCUUUUAAAUGUCAACAAACAUUCUGCAAUAAACCCCGAAGUGCUAAGGAGCUCUCACAGCAACAUGGACUGCAGAUAUAUAACAAAUCAGCUUAUUUUAUUUUUCAUGGUAAGGAAGCGUCCAGAGGAAAGGAACAAAAAAUAUAGGCUGGCAUUAUGAGCAGCACCAAGUCUGUCCAAGUCACACCAUACUCCCAUUUUGUUUAGCAUCGUCUACGUAGAUUAGCAGCAGUUCUCUAGGGACUCAGACAGAAACCUGGACACAGCAAGGAUUAAACCGGGGACCUUUGCAUGCAAAAUGUGUUCUUUGAAACUAAGCAGUGGUCCUUCCCAAAUGAAUUUGAUUAGAUGAUAAAAGGAUCAAGGGGAAAAUAUUUUGUGCUUCCAAGAGUUGAAUUGGAGGGCAUGUUUGCCUUCUGCCUUAAAUCUUCACGUUGUUUGUGCAGGGAGAGUAGAGAAGAGGGGGAAGGUAAAAACUCCAUCGUGCUUUAGCUAGCUCCAGCUAACAAUUGUCUUAGCUAUGCAAGAUAGCUCUGCGGGCAGGCAGUGGGUUUCCUGUCUGGCCUCCUACUUAGCUGAAGCAAAAGAAGCUCAGCUCGGCAGGCCGGUAGUGGUUUUCCUGUCUGCUUCAGUUGUGGUGAGCUAGCUUCCCACCUCAGCUGUGCAAAGAUGCAAACACAUAAUGCAAAGCAAACAAUAUGCAACGGUGGGGGAGGAGGGCUUAGCUAACCUAAAAAGGUAAUAAAGUGUAUCUCUGCUUGUUGAUUGGGGAGCAACUGAGGGCAAGCUUGCAGCUUCAGUAUAAGAAUGCUUGGAAGACAAUAGGGGGCGGCCAGUCUUUGGAAGCUAUUCCACUGGCUAACUCUGCGCAGAUUUUGCAAUAAACCUUUUUCUCUGUGGAACCCACCCUGGUGUAUGUUUGACUCCUUCAUGCUAACAGCAAGGGCACGAGGUGACUGGAUCCGGACCCCUUAGGAUCAGAUAUCCUAACAUUUGUGCAGGGAAAAGGAGACUCAUGGCGUACUUGUUUUAAUGAGCAGUUGCCCCAUUCCUCGAAGAGCCAUAUAUCAGUCUCCUGUUUGUCAAAAAAACAACAGCAAAGUGAAUCCUGCUGAAAAUGUGGACUACCCAUUCACCUGGGUAUGUCAAUUGCUAUGUAAAUCAAUUUUCCAUGAAAAAUAAACACUUGAAACAGACUUGAAGAACUAAUAAGGAGGUGGGGGGGAAUGAAACAUGAUUAACUAUAAUUUUAAAAUGUUGUUAUAGGAUUGGUGGGUUGGUCUGGAUAUCAUAUUUGGGUUCCGCCCAAGGCUCCUCAAACUAGUCACUUUAUUAACAAACUUAGGUAAAGCCAUUAAGCAUCUCUUCACAUGGCUAAAGUGUACAGGUGAGCAAUUGCCACAGAAACUAAGUCAGCGAUGCUACAGGAAGGCAGGUCUUUAGCUCCACCCCUGGAUGAAACCAGAGUCCUUUCUGUUGGGGAUAAUUAAGACUGAAAUUCCCAGGUGUAAAAAACAAAGUCAUUUAUGUAUACUACUACUAUGACCCGUGUUUUGUUAGCUCAAAAAUGGAAAACGAGUAAGGCCCAACCAAGGAAGAAUGGCAACUUUAGUUGAUGGAAUAUGCACAACUUGCAGACUUAACAUAUACAAUAAGAGAACAAGAAGAACAUACGUUUAGAAAAGACUGGAAAACGUUUAUUGAAUAUAUGGGAAAUAAUGUUGUACAGCUGAAAACGCUAGAAGCCUUAAGAUAAAUUCAACAGUGUAAAUAAGUUAUGAUGGAUGUAAUACAGUGGUACCUCGGGUUACAUACGCUUCGGGUUACAUACGCUUCAGGUUACAGACUCCGCUAACCUAGAAAUAGUACCUCGGGUUAAGAACUUUGCUUCAGGAUGAGAACAGAAAUUGUGCUCUAGCAGUGUGGCAGCAACAGGAGGCCCCAUUAGCUAAAGUGGUGCUUCAGGUUAAGAACAGUUUCAGGUUAAGAAUGGACCUCCAGAACGAAUUAAGUACUUAACCCGAGGUACCACUGUAAUGGAAAACUGAAUGGAAUAGUUUUUGUAAAAUAUGCAGGGAUUUGUGAUAUGUAAAAUGAACUAUGGAAAGAGAAGAAGGGAAAUAUUUCAAGGAUGUAAAAAUUAUUUUAAAAUUUUUAUAUAUAUAAAAGAGAUGUAAUCAGGGUGUGUAAGACAGCAGUAGACCAGGGGCUGGUGUCAUGCAGAACUGAGAGCUGUGAAGACAUUCUGAAGACUUUCUCUCUGUGCUGGUCCAAAUCGAUGACUUGAAGGGCUCCUCUAAAAACCAAACUGGGCAGCAAGCUCUGUUGGAGUAUGAAUGCUCUAAGCUACUGGUUCCCAAUUGGUGGUCUUUGGACAAAACCCACCCAGGGGGUUUGCGGCACCAUUCACAUAACAAUAACUACAAUAGAGAUACCUAAAAUUUCAAAAGUAGGGGGUCCAUGGCUUGGCUUUUGAAAAACAGAGGUUCCGCAGCUAAUUGUUAAACACUGCUCUAAGCCCUUCCAGCUUAUGCCUAACUUCUGUAUAUGUCUAAACAAAAACCAUAAACAGUACAACUGUGGCUUGCAUGAGAGAUGUGUUCCAGGGAUGGCGCAUGCAUGCAAAAGCAUAUAUACUCGAACCACACCCUUGGAACAUAAGACGACCCGGAUGGUUGCCAGAUUAUGUGUACAGAUCUGUAGGUGCAGAGCAUCCCCCAACCCAAACUAGUUCGUUAAGAAAAUCCCCAAACUCGGUUCCAUGGGUAACUCUGGGUCAUCUCUCUGAGGUAGCUUAUCUUAAAGUUUAAGUGUCUAUAUGCUUAUCACAUUUAUAAAUUUUAAAUUUAUUGUUGUACAUUGUUUUAAAUGUUUGUUUCCCUUCUGAGAUUGUACCCCCAAGUGUGUUUCAUAAGCUGGUCUCAGGCCGUAAUAAAUUAUCUAAUCUAAUCACACCUUUGGAACAGCCCCUUGCAAAAAGAUAGAGAAACUGAAAGUGAUAGAUUUGCCAUUCCUGAGACUGAGAUAUGUUGCCUGAUAGAGAUCUCAGAAAGGGUGAUCCACUAUGUGGGAGCCACAGUGCAAGAGGAUCUGUCCCAUAUCCUAACAGAUCUAAUUUUUCUCACUCAGGGAGCCAUCAUGAGGCAACAGAUCUAAAAGGAUGAAUGAGUUCCCUGAGUGAAAGUUUCAAGAAAACAUUUUCAUAUAGCACCAUCAGACUACUUACUGGAGAAUAAGAGACAAAAUUUCCACGAAAUUGAAAUCUUUUGUUCCUUGUUUCACCAGCCAUUUCUGCUUUUUCUUUCUACUCCUUGGCUGCCAAGAAAUUCCCCUUUUAUGCUACUUGGGGGUGUCCAAAAGUAGAACUGUGGUUUUAUAACUCAAGAGGCAAAACCACAGUCUAGUUCAGCAAACCUGACAAUUACUGACUGACUGCUAAGCCACUAAGAUGUCAAACAGCCUUUCCCAGCAACACAGAAAACUCCAUUUCUUUUCAUUCCAGACUUAUAAAAAGUCUCUGCUCUGGUUUCUUUUAUUAAAAAAAUUACUUCCUUUUUUCUUGGUGUUCUUGACUGCGGCAGGAAAAGUGGUAUAAGUAGAUGAUUUAUCUUCAAACGUAGCCUUUUUAAUGUACUGGAAACAAAACAUGCAUUAGUAACAAAUAUACUAAGAAAAGGGAGAAUUAUGUGGGAGAUGGAGGCUGCCAUGGCAAUGGGGGCGGGGAGUAGCUUAAUUUCUCAAUAGCCGAAUAUCGUACUGUAGAAAUGUGAUGCAGCUGAAUCACUUCUGAACAUUCCCAGACACAAUACCUUGACAACAAUCUGAGAGAACUCAAGUCUGGUUUUUAAACUCCGUCAUCUCAUGCCAGAGUGUAAUAUAUAUGAGACUACCUCAGAGCUGCGGGUGGCGCUGUGUUCUAAACCACUGAGCCUCUUGGGCUUGCCAAUCAGAAGGUCAGCAGUUCGAAUCCCUGCCAGCUCCUGCCAACCUAGCAGUUUGAAAGCACACCAGUGCAAGUAGAUAAAAAGGUACUGCUGUGGCGGGAAGGUAAACGGCGUUUCUGUGCGCUCUGGUUUCCAUCACGGUGUUCCGUUGCACCCAGAAGCAGUUUAGUCCUGCUGGCCACAUGACCCGGAAAGCUGUCUGUGGACAGACGCCGGCUCCCUCGGCCUGAAAGCAAGAUGAGCGCCGCAACCCCAUAGUUGCUUAACUUCCAGGGGUCCUUUACCUUUAGCUUUACCCUUCAUCUGCUUGCUGCAGUCUGAGAUGAGCUCUCCAGAUAAUGUUUUCACCAACAUCUGCCAGCUUCUCUUAGGUCCAUCAUGAGAUGUCUGUCAGCUUCCAGCCAUGGAUAUCAGCAGCCUUCAAGCAAGCAAAGUUGCCUUAUUAUCGCUCCCUAGCAUCCCACUGUCAGAGGACUGCCUCCUUCCAAUCACCAGUUUGCCACCUCCUGGGCAGUGCUGAAUGUCACAUCCAUUGCCAGGUGUGUCCUGC